Molecule: signal recognition particle RNA, 297 nt
Filed under: Cebus imitator (Panamanian white-faced capuchin)
Lineage: Eukaryota; Metazoa; Chordata; Mammalia; Primates; Cebidae
Description: Metazoan signal recognition particle RNA (ENSCCAG00000009605.1)
Rfam family: Metazoan signal recognition particle RNA
About the family: The signal recognition particle (SRP) is a universally conserved ribonucleoprotein. It is involved in the co-translational targeting of proteins to membranes.
Source: RNAcentral
ACCAGGCACGGUGACGCAUGCCUGUAGUCCCAGCUACUCGGGAGGCUAAGGUGGGAGGAUUGCUUGAGCCCAAGAGUUCUGGGCUGUAGUGUGCUAUGCUGAUCGGGUGUCCGCACUAAGUUUGGCAUCAGUAUGGUGACCUCCUGGGAGCAGAGGACCACCAGGUUGCCUAAGGAGGAGUGAACCAGCCCAGGUCAGAAACAGAGCAGGUCAAAACUCCCGUGCUGAUCAGCCUUGGGGUCACCUGUGGAAAGCCAGUGCACCCCAGCCUGGGCAACAUAGCAGUACCCUGUCUCU